Molecule: long non-coding RNA, 404 nt
Organism: Olea europaea var. sylvestris
Lineage: Eukaryota; Viridiplantae; Streptophyta; Magnoliopsida; Lamiales; Oleaceae
Exons: 4
Source: RefSeq, a predicted model, not a curated record
AUUAUGUUAUGGUUGGUGAAGUAUUUAACUUAUAUAAUGACACCAAUGGGCAGACAUGAAUAGCAUGAAAGGUUGACGUGAGGAAUUUAAUCAUCCGGAUUGAGAUAGUUUUGGUGAGGACAUCCUCUUGAAUCUUGCUCAUCAGUACUACAAAUCUGGGAACUAUAAGCGGGCACUAGAACACAGCAAGAAUGUUUAUGAGAGAGAUCCAUGUCUCACUGAUAACCUUCUUUUGUUGGGUGCAAUUUAUUAUCAGUUACAUGAUUUUGAUAUGUGCAUCGCAAAGAACAAAGAAGCUCUCCUAAUUAAUCCAAAUUUCGCCGAGUGCUAUGGAAAUAUGGCCAAUGCUUGGAAGGAGAAAGGCAAUAGUGAUGUUGCAAUUCGCUAUUACUUGAUUGCUAUUG